RNAcentral lists this ribosomal RNA (420 nucleotides) under uncultured Microcoleus sp. RNAcentral describes it as "bacterial SSU rRNA". It matches the Rfam family "Bacterial small subunit ribosomal RNA", at positions 356 to 789 of the family's 1533-position model. Lineage: Bacteria; Bacillati; Cyanobacteriota; Cyanophyceae; Oscillatoriales; Microcoleaceae. The record is from RNAcentral.
GGGGAAUUUUCCGCAAUGGGCGCAAGCCUGACGGAGCAAGACCGCGUGAGGGAGGAAGGCCCAAGCGGUUGUAAACCUCUUUUCUCAGGGAAGAAGAAAGUGACGGUACCUGAGGAAUCAGCCUCGGCUAACUCCGUGCCAGCAGCCGCGGUAAUACGGAGGAGGCAAGCGUUAUCCGGAAUUAUUGGGCGUAAAGCGUCCGUAGGUGGUUAUGUAAGUCUGCUGUCAAAGCACAGGGCUUAACCCUGUAAAGGCAGUGGAAACUACAAGACUCGAGUGCGGUAGGGGCAGAGGGAAUUCCCAGUGUAGCGGUGAAAUGCGUAGAGAUUGGGAAGAACACCUGUGGCGAAAGCGCUCUGCUGGACCGCAACUGACACUCAGGGACGAAAGCUAGGGGAGCGAAUGGGAUUAGAUACCCCA